GAUGAACGCUGGCGGCGUGCCUGAUACAUGCCAGUCGAGCGAACAGACGAGGAGCUUGCUCCUCUGACGUUAGCGGCGGACGGGUGAGUAACACGUGGAUAACCUACCUAUAAGACUGGGAUAACUUCGGGAAACCGGAGCUAAUACCGGAUAAUAUAUUGAACCGCAUGGUUCAAUAGUGAAAGACGGUUUUGCUGUCACUUAUAGAUGGAUCCGCGCCGCAUUAGCUAGUUGGUAAGGUAACGGCUUACCAAGGCGACGAUGCGUAGCCGACCUGAGAGGGUGAUCGGCCACACUGGAACUGAGACACGGUCCAGACUCCUACGGGAGGCAGCAGUAGGGAAUCUUCCGCAAUGGGCGAAAGCCUGACGGAGCAACGCCGCGUGAGUGAUGAAGGUCUUCGGAUCGUAAAACUCUGUUAUUAGGGAAGAACAAAUGUGUAAGUAACUAUGCACGUCUUGACGGUACCUAAUCAGAAAGCCACGGCUAACUACGUG
RNAcentral lists this ribosomal RNA (497 nucleotides) under uncultured bacterium. Its description in RNAcentral is "partial 16S ribosomal RNA". It matches the Rfam family "Bacterial small subunit ribosomal RNA", at positions 28 to 507 of the family's 1533-position model. The record is from RNAcentral.